Molecule: unclassified non-coding RNA, 229 nt
Filed under: Lilium taliense
Lineage: Eukaryota; Viridiplantae; Streptophyta; Magnoliopsida; Liliales; Liliaceae
Description: ITS 1
Source: RNAcentral
UCGAUAAUCGAUUGAGAGACCGCGAACCUGUAAACGGAUGACACCAUGUUGGGCAGGUGUUAUGCCCGCCCAACUCGGGACCUCGCAUUGUGUCCGCGGACGCCUCCGAGCGUUUCAGACAUGAUUUGUGGGGGACGAACGAAACCCCGGCACGGCCUGUGCCAAGGAACAUAUGUCAGGACGGAUGUGCGUCAAUGCCUCAGUGGUGGGGCGACGUCCACUCUCUAUC